Molecule: ribosomal RNA, 595 nt
Filed under: uncultured Bacteroidota bacterium
Lineage: Bacteria; Pseudomonadati; Bacteroidota
Description: bacterial SSU rRNA
Rfam family: Bacterial small subunit ribosomal RNA
Source: RNAcentral
CAACCUGCCCAUCACUUGGGGAUAACCUUGCGAAAGUAAGACUAAUACCCAAUGACGUCCAUAGAAGACAUCUGAAGUGGAUUAAAGAUUUAUCGGUGACGGAUGGGGAUGCGUCUGAUUAGCUUGUUGGCGGGGUAACGGCCCACCAAGGCGACGAUCAGUAGGGGUUCUGGGAGGAAGGUCCCCCACAUUGGAACUGAGACACGGUCCAAACUCCUACGGGAGGCAGCAGUGAGGAAUAUUGGUCAAUGGACGAGAGUCUGAACCAGCCAAGUAGCGUGCAGGAUGACGGCCCUAUGGGUUGUAAACUGCUUUUAUAAGGGAAUAAAGUGGGAGUCGUGACUCCUUUUGCAUGUACCUUAUGAAUAAGGACCGGCUAAUUCCGUGCCAGCAGCCGCGGUAAUACGGAAGGUCCGGGCGUUAUCCGGAUUUAUUGGGUUUAAAGGGAGCGUAGGCCGGAGAUUAAGCGUGUUGUGAAAUGUAGACGCUCAACGUCUGCACUGCAGCGCGAACUGGUUUCCUUGAGUACGCACAAAGUGGGCGGAAUUCGUGGUGUAGCGGUGAAAUGCUUAGAUAUCACGAAGAACUCCGAUUG